GGGAGGCUAAGGGAGGAGGAUCCCUUGAGAUCAGGAGUUCAAGACCAGCCUGGGCAACAUAGUAAGAUCUUGCCUCUAAGAAAAAAAAAUUUUUUUUGAGAUGAAGUCUCAGUCUGUCACCCAGGCUGGAGUGCGGUGAUGUGAUCUUGGUUCACUGCAACCUCCACCUCCCAGAUUCAAGUGAUUCUCCUGCCUCAGCCUCUAUAGUACCUGGAACUACAGGUGCCCACCACCAAGCUGGCCAGGCUGGUCUCAAACUCCUGAACUUCUGUCCCCUGGGCUGGAAUGCAGUGGCACGAUCUUGGCUCACUGCAACUUCUGCCUCCCUGGUUCAAGUGAUUCUUCUACCUCAGCCUCCUGAAUAUCUAAGAUUCCAGUUGCACACUACCACACCAGGCUAAUUUUUAUAUAUUUUUAGUAGACACUGGGUAUCACCAUGUUGGUCAGGCUGGUCUCAAACUCCUGACCUUGUGAUUGUUUGGUAGAAAGUCCCACCAUCUUUCCCCCAGGUUUCUUGCCCCCACCCUCCCCCCAGGCUUCCUGCUGCCCUGAGAAAUGCCCGCCAAGCCUGCUCUGUUCUGCCCAGCAACAACAAGCAGCCAAUCAUCGCAGCAGGAAAGCCCGCCAAGCCUCGGCCUAUCCUGAACAGACACGUAACCCUCUGAGCCACCUCAGCAGUCUGCCCAGAGACGAACAGCCUAUCCUAAGCUCCUACGACACUCCGCCAGCCCUGUGUCCACGCCCUGUCCACCCCCCCAUAAAACCCUCCUACCCCAGCUGCGCAGUCGCAGCCAGCCCCGAUCUCCUUCCUUUCCUGGCCUGCCCGCUGGUCCCAAUAAACCUGAACUCGGCUUACAACUCUCGAGCUGUUAUUUGGGGUCAGGUACCGGGCAGGGGUCUACAAGGGGGUCGCACAUAUGGUGCCGAAACCCGGGACGGAGGGUCGCUAGACCCCCUAGUGACCCCCUCCCUCCAGCGACCUCCCCAGCCCUCCUCCAAUUCGGCCUCAGCACUCCGGACCAGAACCGAAGAGCCCUGGACCUGCUCACUGCUGAACGAGGAGGGACCUGUAUCUUCCUACAGGAAGAGUGCUGUUACUACAUCAAUGAAUCCGGCCUAGUAGAAACCCGAAUCGAGAGCCUCCAGAAACUCAAAACUAACCUGCAGAGUCAGAAGUUCUCGGCUGAAGCCACGGCGUGUUCCUAUAGCGGCGCUUUCAAGAACUGACUCGAGUCACCAUCCACCAGAUGCUGCUCCAACCCUACCCUGAACGAGUGCAAGAAACAGACCUCUGCCCGAACAUCCAGGCUCAUUAAGAAAAGAGACCUCUUCAGAACCCCCAUCGACCCUUGUCAGCAGGAAGUAGCUAGAGAGACAACCGACGCCCCUGACCCCCUCUUUUUCUUUUCUUUAAGGAGUCGGGAAUGUUUGGAAAACUCUGCCCCUACCGCAAAAUCUCUCUCUCUUUCCCUCCCCCACAAAGAGGCUCCCUUAUCUCUCACUUUACAUACCGGCCCUAGCCCUCCCGCAGCCCAGCUUCCCGCCCAGCAGUUCAAACUGACCAACAGUUGCCCACCACCUCGGCUUUUGGCUUCCCCACCCCCAGCCCUUCAGCCCCCUAUAAAUAACCCUGCCCCUCUGAGCGGCACGGCCAUUCUCCUCUUCCUCCCGGCUGGUCCGCCCGGAGGCUCUUUCCUCUCAAUAAAGCCUGAACUUAAGGAAUUUCCUCUAGCCUGCGGUCCGGUUUUUUCCGAACGAGCUCAGUCUUCCCGCAGAGGGUAGGUCGGACAGUUGGAACUACAGGCAUGUACUACACCUGGCUAAUUUAUUUAUUUUUUAUAUUUAUUUUUUAUCAGGGGAAUGCACAAACACAGUCCCCCACUACCACAAAUUUUGCAGUCCAGUUUCCCACAUUUGGGGAAAUCGCAGGGGUCAGCACAUCCGGAGUGCAAUGGAUAAGCCUCACCCUAGGAAAACCACAUGAUAUACCUUCAUGAUUAUGGUAUCUCCCCUCCAAGGUAAUUUUUGUGUUUUUAGUAGAUAUGGUGUUUCACCAUGUUGACCAGGCUGGUCUCAAAUUCCUGACAUCAGCUUAACCACCCACCUCAGCCUCCCAAAGUGCUGGGAUUACAGGCACAAGUCACCUGGCCCUCCCUCACAUAUAUCUGUUUUUCAAAGCUCUUCACUCUUGGCAUUAUUUAUUUAUUGGAGACAGGGUGUCACUCGGUGGCCCAGGCUGGAGUGCAGUGGCACAAUCACAGCUUACUGCAAACUCCGCCUUCUGGGUUCAAGUGAUUCUCAGGCCUCAGCCUCCUGAGUAACUGAGAUUUCAGGUGCACUUCGGUAAUUUUUGUCAUUUUUUUUAGUAGAGACCGGGUUUCUCGGUGUUAGCCAAGCUGGCCUCAACCUCCUGAUCUCAGGUGAUCCACCCAUCUCGGCUUCCCAAAGUCCU
This 2452-nucleotide long non-coding RNA is filed under the name Callithrix jacchus (white-tufted-ear marmoset). Its description in RNAcentral is "lncRNA (ENSCJAG00000073652.1)". Lineage: Eukaryota; Metazoa; Chordata; Mammalia; Primates; Cebidae. The record is from RNAcentral.